Molecule: unclassified non-coding RNA, 278 nt
Filed under: fungal sp.
Lineage: Eukaryota; Fungi
Description: partial internal transcribed spacer region
Rfam family: Eukaryotic small subunit ribosomal RNA (bases 1-46)
Source: RNAcentral
AAGUCGUAACAAGGUUUCCGUAGGUGAACCUGCGGAAGGAUCAUUAACGAGUUUACUGAGUUGUCGCUGCCCUCUCGGGGGAUGUGCACGCUCUUUUUCACUCAUCUAUACACCUGUGCACCUAUGCGAGUCAAUGGGGGAUUAGCGAAAGAGACCUGCAAAGGUUUCGACUAGCGUUCUCUGUCGGCUCGAUUUUUUAUAAACUCUUGUAUGUCUUAGAAUGUCUACUUCGCUUAACGCAAUAAAUACAACUUUCAACAACGGAUCUCUUGGCUCUC